UGCAGUCGACGGCAGCACGGGAGCAAUCCUGGUGGCGAGUGGCGAACGGGUGAGUAAUACAUCGGAACGUGCCCAAUCGUGGGGGAUAACGCAGCGAAAGCUGUGCUAAUACCGCAUAAGAUCUACGGAUGAAAGCAGGGGAUCGCAAGACCUUGCGCGAAUGGAGCGGCCGAUGGCAGAUUAGGUAGUUGGUGGGGUAAAGGCUCACCAAGCCUUCGAUCUGUAGCUGGUCUGAGAGGACGACCAGCCACACUGGGACUGAGACACGGCCCAGACUCCUACGGGAGGCAGCAGUGGGGAAUUUUGGACAAUGGGCGAAAGCCUGAUCCAGCCAUGCCGCGUGCAGGAUGAAGGCCUUCGGGUUGUAAACUGCUUUUGUACGGAACGAAAAGGCUCUUUCUAAUAAAGAGGGCUCAUGACGGUACCGUAAGAAUAAGCACCGGCUAACUACGUGCCAGCAGCCGCGGUAAUACGUAGGGUGCAAGCGUUAAUCGGAAUUACUGGGCGUAAAGCGUGCGCAGGCGGUUAUGUAAGACAGUUGUGAAAUCCCCGGGCUCAACCUGGGAACUGCAUCUGUGACUGCAUAGCUAGAGUACGGUAGAGGGGGAUGGAAUUCCGCGUGUAGCAGUGAAAUGCGUAGAUAUGCGGAGGAACACCGAUGGCGAAGGCAAUCCCCUGGACCUGUACUGACGCUCAUGCACGAAAGCGUGGGGAGCAAACAGGAUUAGAUACCCUGGUAGUCCACGCCCUAAACGAUGUCAACUGGUUGUUGGGUCU
This 777-nucleotide ribosomal RNA is filed under the name Variovorax sp. M29T13. RNAcentral describes it as "bacterial SSU rRNA". It matches the Rfam family "Bacterial small subunit ribosomal RNA", at positions 56 to 830 of the family's 1533-position model. The record is from RNAcentral. Lineage: Bacteria; Pseudomonadati; Pseudomonadota; Betaproteobacteria; Burkholderiales; Comamonadaceae.